AGCUCUGGUACCUCUGUGUGGAAGAGUUACUCACCUGUUCCAUAUAAUAGCAGCAGGAGGCCUUGAAGGAGCUGACUGUGGAAACAAUCUUUUCCACCCUCGUCCUCGUCCGUUACCAUGACUACGUGGAGCUGUUGGCGGAGAUGUAUCUCCUGGCUGACUUCCUGGCUCAGCACCCUGAGGUCCAGCUGGUGGUGAUUGACAGCAUUGCCUUCCUGUUCCACCAUUGCUUUGAUGACUUCUCCCAGAGGACCCGCCUCCGGAACAGCCUCGCCCAGCAGCUCAUCCAGAUGGCCACCAAUCGCAAUGUCGCAGUAUGACCUGACAUUGUCCACCUUGCUGCCUCACCAGACUUUCACUAAUGUCUUCUCCAUCGUCUGUAUUCUUAACCCGUCUUCCUUUUAUCUGGUGAUAACUAUUUUCUAGGCCUGAUAAAACACAUUUAAAGGAGCAACAACAACCAAGAAGAGUCCAGUUAUAACCACAUCCUCCCAUCAUUUAUAGAGCCUAUCUACCUACUCCCUAUUGCAAACUACUAUAAUGUAUAGAGCCAUAACUGAGCCAUCCUUCCAAGCCCAACCAAAACUAUGCUCACCAGACUUGCGUUGUGUCUCUCUGUCUCUACUCAGUAUUUACAACCUCCCAUCUCUGGUCCCAAUCCAACCACGCAUCUAGACUAAGCACUCUCAUUCCAAGAGAUAAAAAGGCUCUUAUUGGUGCAAUGCUGAUUUAAGCGGCCAGGUAGAUUGGGAUCUAAAUGGAAUGGCCGCUCCAUGCCAGGAUGGCGCUGCACAGUUUUUAAUCAGCAAAAGAGUUAUCUUAUGAGCCCUGGAGCAAAUUCACUUUGUUCUAGUAAUUUGUUGGUUGGCGGCACUCAGGGACCCCUUGGAGGACACACAGGAGAAACAACAAAGCCGGUGGACAGAACAACCUGUUCCAAUUUGAGCGGGGGCCCCUAGGGGUCCAUGGAGGUACUGCAGGGGGUCAGCGAUGUUUAGUUUUCCUUUUCCAAUUAUAAUGUGGGGAGGUCAAAAUAAUGAAAUACUGUCUACCAAAUCUUUUCAUUAAAAAAAUGGUCAUUACUUCUCCUUGCCAUUUAUCACUCACCUGAUGAUAAGACAAGGCAUGUGAUUUUUUUUUUUGUGGGCUAAGGUAGGAUGGGGGUCCCUGGGUCGCCGGUUUGCCUGGGAGGGGGUCCCUGGACAAGAAAAGGUUGAAGUCAUACCAGUAAUGAUCCUCUGAUUGUGGAGAACUGGAGUUCUUUUCUGCUGCUCUGCUGUAGAGAGGGAGAGUAUGACUCAUCCUGAUGCAAGCCCACAGGACCUGUCUCUAUGUUUGCUGAGUACAUUCCUACUGUAUGUCUACCAAUACCUAAGUCCACAAAACCUAUUAUUGUGUUACUCGGUUCCCAAGUCCACAUAAUAACCUAGUCUAAAUGCCAUCUCCAAUGUCGUCUCUGUCUGAAAUGACAAUACAGCAUACCGGCUGUAUUGCUGAUGGAUGGAGCAUCAACACAUAGGCAGGAAAUUAUAAACACCACACAAUAAUUUUGGGUCCCCCAGCCUCACAGCUGUAAGGGACAGCAAUUGAAGUGGAAAAAAGAGGGUGCCACUAAUGUUUUGUUAAGGAGGGAUGUGUUUUAUUCAUCACCAAACUCUUCUUUUCUCAGAACAUACCACUGCAUCAAUGAAACUGAAGAGGACUUUUAACCUUUACUUUUUGUCUCAGGGUGAAAUGAUUAACACAAUACAUUUUGCCUGUUGUCUUGUUUUUGUCAUGUUUCUGCGGAAGCCAGUUUCCUUUUGAUGAACUUUCAUUUCCUUCGUUUUUAGGUUGUUCUUACCAAUCAGGUGACUUCAAAGGUUUGGAGCAGCCAAUCAAAGCUUAUUCCUGCCUUAGGUGAGAAGGACUGUUGCGAUGCACUGACUAAAUGCUACAAAUAACAAUAAAAAUCGUACCUCUCCUUAAACUGUACAUCAGUUAUUUAACAGAAAUGGUUAGGGCCAAGUUUUACAGCACAUUUUGCAAUUCAGCCAAUCAUAUACCUCUCCCAAUUUAAACCCAACUAAUUUAACAUACUGUUUCUGCGGAAGCCAAUUUCCUUUAGAAGAGCUUUCAUUUCCUUCAUGUUUAGGUUGUUCUUACCAAUCAGGUGACUACAGAGGUUUGGAGUGGCCAAUCAAAGCUUAUUCCUGCCUUAGAUGAAAAGGACGGCUCCCGAAUGGUGCAGCGUUCAAAGGCACUGCAUCUCAGUGCAAGAGGCGUCACUACAGACCCUGGUUCGAUUCCAGGCUGUA
This is a long non-coding RNA of Salvelinus sp. IW2-2015, 2297 nucleotides long. RefSeq lists it as uncharacterized. The record is from RefSeq and is a predicted model, not a curated record. Lineage: Eukaryota; Metazoa; Chordata; Actinopteri; Salmoniformes; Salmonidae.